Phasianus colchicus (ring-necked pheasant) is the source of this 874-nucleotide long non-coding RNA. NCBI's taxonomy places the organism in Eukaryota, Metazoa, Chordata, Aves, Galliformes, Phasianidae. The record is from Ensembl.
AACGGGGGUUGGGUGGGGGGUCCAACCCGGUGGGUCUGGGGUCCCACAAAGGCUCCAUCACCUCCUGCUGCCGGCUUCCCUUCCGUCUGUCGCUGUGCAAACCCAAGGCAAACGAAGGCGAGUGCCGAUUUUUGGGGUUUUUUUUGGUCGCUCACUCGACGGUGCCGGUGUCGGGUUUUUUUUGGGUUUUUUUUCCUGAUCCGGUGUCGUUUGCUCGGUGCCGGUGUUGUUUUGCUCGGUGCCAGUGUCGUUUGCUCAGUGCCGGUGUCAUUUGCUUGGUACCGGUGUUGUCGGUACCGGUGUUGUUUGCACGGUGCCGGUGUCAUUUUCUCAGUGCCGGUGUCGUUUUGCUCGUUACCGGUGUUGUUGGUACCGGUGUUGUCGGUACCGGUGUCAUUUGCUCGGUGCCGGUGUCAUUUGCUCGGUGCCGGUGUUGUCGGUGCCGGUGUUGUUGGUGCCGGUGUCGUUUGCUCGGUGCCGGUGUUGUUGGUGCCGGUGUCGUUGGCUCGGUACCGGUGUCGUUUUGCUCGGUACCGGCAUCACAGACAGACGUUGAUCUGUUUGGCCAACUCCCUCUCGAGGUCGAGGAUGAGAGCAUCGAAGUCUUUGAGGUUAAGCAUCGGAGCGAACGACGAAUCGCUUUCGUCGCCGAGACCAAAAUCGGUCACGAUAAGGGUCCGGCGAUUCGCGACACGACUGUCGCCGCUCGUCACCUCCUCGUAUCUCCCCAGCUCGAUGCUCCAGUCGCCGGCGUAGCGGUUGCUGGGGGGGCUUUCGGGUCCCCGGGGGCGAUGCCGGGCGACCACGGCUGUGUCCACGAGGUCCAGGCGGAGGGGGGGCUGCUGAGGGUGGCUGGGGGGCGACUGGGGGGCCA